CGAACGGGUGAGUAACACGUGGGAAACCUACCUCUUAGCAGGGGAUAACAUUUGGAAACAGAUGCUAAUACCGUAUAACAAUAGCAACCGCAUGGUUGCUACUUAAAAGAUGGUUCUGCUAUCACUAAGAGAUGGUCCCGCGGUGCAUUAGUUAGUUGGUGAGGUAAUGGCUCACCAAGACGAUGAUGCAUAGCCGAGUUGAGAGACUGAUCGGCCACAAUGGGACUGAGACACGGCCCAUACUCCUACGGGAGGCAGCAGUAGGGAAUCUUCCACAAUGGGCGAAAGCCUGAUGGAGCAACGCCGCGUGUGUGAUGAAGGGUUUCGGCUCGUAAAACACUGUUGUAAGAGAAGAAUGACAUUGAGAGUAACUGUUCAAUGUGUGACGGUAUCUUACCAGAAAGGAACGGCUAAAUACGUGCCAGCAGCCGCGGUAAUACGUAUGUUCCAAGCGUUAUCCGGAUUUAUUGGGCGUAAAGCGAGCGCAGACGGUUAUUUAAGUCUGAAGUGAAAGCCCUCAGCUCAACUGAGGAAUUGCUUUGGAAACUGGAUGACUUGAGUGCAGUAGAGGAAAGUGGAACUCCAUGUGUAGCGGUGAAAUGCGUAGAUAUAUGGAAGAACACCAGUGGCGAAGGCGGCUUUCUGGACUGUAACUGACGUUGAGGCUCGAAAGUGUGGGUAGCAAACAGGAUUAGAUACCCUGGUAGUCCACACCGUAAACGAUGAGUGCUAGGUGUUUGAGGGUUUCCGCCCUUAAGUGCCGCAGCUAACGCAUUAAGCACUCCGCCUGGGGGAGUACGACCGCGAGGUUGAAACUCAAAGGAAUUGACGGGGACCCGCACAAGCGGGGGGAGCAUGUGGUUUAAUUCGAAGCAACGCGGAAGAACCUUACCAGGUCUU
This 900-nucleotide ribosomal RNA is filed under the name Weissella cibaria. Its description in RNAcentral is "bacterial SSU rRNA". It matches the Rfam family "Bacterial small subunit ribosomal RNA", at positions 99 to 982 of the family's 1533-position model. Lineage: Bacteria; Bacillati; Bacillota; Bacilli; Lactobacillales; Lactobacillaceae. The record is from RNAcentral.